Molecule: transfer RNA, 72 nt
Filed under: Stegodyphus mimosarum
Lineage: Eukaryota; Metazoa; Arthropoda; Arachnida; Araneae; Eresidae
Rfam family: tRNA
About the family: Transfer RNA (tRNA) molecules are approximately 80 nucleotides in length. Their secondary structure includes four short double-helical elements and three loops (D, anti-codon, and T loops). Further hydrogen bonds mediate the characteristic L-shaped molecular structure. tRNAs have two regions of fundamental functional importance: the anti-codon, which is responsible for specific mRNA codon recognition, and the 3' end, to which the tRNAs corresponding amino acid is attached (by aminoacyl-tRNA synthetases). tRNAs cope with the degeneracy of the genetic code in two manners: having more than one tRNA (with a specific anti-codon) for a particular amino acid; and 'wobble' base-pairing, i.e. permitting non-standard base-pairing at the 3rd anti-codon position.
Source: Rfam by way of RNAcentral
GCCGUCGUGGUAUAAUGGUCAGCACGCUCGACUCGUAUUCGAGAGUCCGUGGUUCGAGUCCCGGCGCAGGCG